UGGGGAAUUUUGUGCAAUGGGCGAAAGCCUGACACAGCGACGCCGCGUGGGGGAUGAAGGCCUUCGGGUCGUAAACCCCUUUUCUCAGGGAGGAAUAAUGACAGUACCUGAGGAAUAAGCCAUGGCUAACUUCGUGCCAGCAGCCGCGGUAAUACGGAGGUGGCGAGCGUUAUCCGGAUUUACUGGGCGUAAAGAGGGCGCAGACGGCUUUCCAAGUCGGAUGUAAAAUCUCCCAGCUUAACUGGGAGCGAUCACUCGAUACUGUUAAGCUAGAGUACAACAGGGGGAGGUAGAAUUCCCGGUGUAGUGGUGAAAUGCGUAGAUAUCGGGAGGAAUACCAGUGGCGAAGGCGGCCUCCUGGGUUGUUACUGACGUUCAGGCCCGAAAGCGUGGGGAGCAAACAGG
Molecule: ribosomal RNA, 405 nt
Filed under: uncultured bacterium
Lineage: Bacteria
Description: bacterial SSU rRNA
Rfam family: Bacterial small subunit ribosomal RNA
Source: RNAcentral